Molecule: long non-coding RNA, 829 nt
Organism: Capsicum annuum
Lineage: Eukaryota; Viridiplantae; Streptophyta; Magnoliopsida; Solanales; Solanaceae
Exons: 2
Source: RefSeq, a predicted model, not a curated record
CCCGCCACCUUCACUUUUCUUUCCUCUUUAUCAAACAUCAAAACAACGACACUAGUCGGCACACAACAAUACGAAUAAUGAACAAAUGACAAUAGCUCCAACAACCAGUACAAACAAUAUAUAACAACCAUUCUCAACCAAAACCAAACCCAUCUCCAAUAUCAACUCAUAGUACCUCUGACCCGAUUCAACGUUGACCCAAUUUUAACCAAAAAUUGAAUCAGAAUCUCAACAAAUCUGUGAUUUCCAAUAGCUCAGCACCAAAGCAUUUUGAAAUUGUACGAUUUCGUAUGAUUUUACAGCUCAUCACCUUAUCCUCAAGUGGAAAUUUGAAUUUCCUUCACAAAAUUUCAAAAUUACCCAUAUUAAUAAAAAAUCCCACAUCGUUGGAGAACAAUUCACUCUUCACUAUUGUUCCCUAUAAAAAUCUCAGUAUUGAGCAAAAGAGGGCAAGUCUUGGAAGGGAAAAAGAACCCCCAAGCAAAAAAAAUGUUGACAUCCUUGAGAAUUUCGAGUAAGAAAGAUUUUAAUUGAAAUUUUUCUUUUUCUUUAAAAGUUUUAUCUUUUGGUGGUGACGAGGAAACUAUAUCAAAGGCUCGAGUCACGUUUUGCUUCCCCUAAAAAGGCUCUUCCCAUGUGCAUUUCAUGAUGUGCCAAUGCGGCCUAUCCCUUUGAGUCGACUAUAUUUGGAGAAAGAAGUUACCAUGAGAAGAAGAAAAAGUGGAUCAAAACUCGUUUAUGAAGCUUCCAAUAGAUUUUAAAAGUUUUAAUUUCUUAUUACUUUACUUAUCUUAGUCAUUUAUUUUUUAUUUUAUUCAUUCAUUUGGGC